GUACACACCGCCCGUCACAUCAUGGAAGCCGGUCGCACCCGAAGUACAUACGCUAACUUUCGAGAGGCAGUGUCCUAAGGUGUAGCUGGUAACUGGGAUGAAGUCGUAACAAGGUAGCCGUAGGUGAACCUGCAGAAGGAUCA
Molecule: ribosomal RNA, 143 nt
Filed under: uncultured eukaryote
Lineage: Eukaryota
Description: partial small subunit ribosomal RNA
Rfam family: Bacterial small subunit ribosomal RNA
Source: RNAcentral